CCUCGAAUGUUGAAACAGAAGACUGCUCCAAAUUGAACAAAAAGAGGGCACAUAAAAAGCCAUAAGGAUUUGUGUCAGACAUUGAUUCUUCCUCAGAUGAAGAUGGCAGAGUUUUACCAAAGGAGAAUACAGAUGUGUCAAAACCUCAUCCACCGAAAUCACAGAGGAUCAGUUUCUAGCAGCACUGCAAGACAGGCCUACAGGAGAAUCGGAGGGAAAACCAAAAACAGGACAAUCCUUCCAG
Carassius auratus (goldfish) is the source of this 244-nucleotide long non-coding RNA. RefSeq lists it as uncharacterized. Lineage: Eukaryota; Metazoa; Chordata; Actinopteri; Cypriniformes; Cyprinidae. The record is from RefSeq and is a predicted model, not a curated record. The transcript has 3 exons.